GAAGGUUGGUACUUGUACCAACUGGAUGAGCAGCGAACGGGUGAGUAACGCGUGGGGAAUCUGCCUUUGAGCGGGGGACAACAUUUGGAAACGAAUGCUAAUACCGCAUAAAAACUUUAAACACAAGUUUUAAGUUUGAAAGAUGCAAUUGCAUCACUCAAAGAUGAUCCCGCGUUGUAUUAGCUAGUUGGUGAGGUAAAGGCUCACCAAGGCGAUGAUACAUAGCCGACCUGAGAGGGUGAUCGGCCACAUUGGGACUGAGACACGGCCCAAACUCCUACGGGAGGCAGCAGUAGGGAAUCUUCGGCAAUGGACGAAAGUCUGACCGAGCAACGCCGCGUGAGUGAAGAAGGUUUUCGGAUCGUAAAACUCUGUUGGUAGAGAAGAACGUUGGUGAGAGUGGAAAGCUCAUCAAGUGACGGUAACUACCCAGAAAGGGACGGCUAACUACGUGCCAGCAGCCGCGGUAAUACGUAGGUCCCGAGCGUUGUCCGGAUUUAUUGGGCGUAAAGCGAGCGCAGGUGGUUUAUUAAGUCUGGUGUAAAAGGCAGUGGCUCAACCAUUGUAUGCAUUGGAAACUGGUAGACUUGAGUGCAGGAGAGGAGAGUGGAAUUCCAUGUGUAGCGGUGAAAUGCGUAGAUAUAUGGAGGAACACCGGUGGCGAAAGCGGCUCUCUGGCCUGUAACUGACACUGAGGCUCGAAAGCGUGGGGAGCAAACAGGAUUAGAUACCCUGGUAGUCCAUUAGAUACCCUGGUAGUCC
Molecule: ribosomal RNA, 762 nt
Filed under: bacterium C08
Lineage: Bacteria
Description: bacterial SSU rRNA
Rfam family: Bacterial small subunit ribosomal RNA
Source: RNAcentral